Aricia agestis (brown argus) is the source of this 136-nucleotide long non-coding RNA. RefSeq lists it as uncharacterized. The record is from RefSeq and is a predicted model, not a curated record. NCBI's taxonomy places the organism in Eukaryota, Metazoa, Arthropoda, Insecta, Lepidoptera, Lycaenidae. The transcript has 3 exons.
AAACGAUUUUUACUUUAACGCGGCGUCACCUUAACAUGGUUCAAUUGUGACAAACCAAGAGACGGUUUGUCACCUAAUAGCAUGACGAUAAUGAGAAGUCCAUUGCUACGGCCUACUCACGCGUACUAUAUUUUAU